UAGGGAAUCUUCGGCAAUGGACGAAAGUCUGACCGAGCAACGCCGCGUGAGUGAAGAAGGUUUUCGGAUCGUAAAACUCUGUUGUUAGAGAAGAACAAGGACGUUAGUAACUGAACGUCCCCUGACGGUAUCUAACCAGAAAGCCACGGCUAACUACGUGCCAGCAGCCGCGGUAAGACGUAGGUGGCAAGCGUUGUCCGGAUUUAUUGGGCGUAAAGCGAGCGCAGGCGGUUUCUUAAGUCUGAUGUGAAAGCCCCCGGCUCAACCGGGGAGGGUCAUUGGAAACUGGGAGACUUGAGUGCAGAAGAGGAGAGUGGAAUUCCAUGUGUAGCGGUGAAAUGCGUAGAUAUAUGGAGGAACACCAGUGGCGAAGGCGGCUCUCUGGUCUGUGACUGACGCUGAGGCUCGAAAGCGUGGGGAGCAAACAGG
Molecule: ribosomal RNA, 429 nt
Filed under: Gemmatimonadota bacterium
Lineage: Bacteria; Pseudomonadati; Gemmatimonadota
Description: Gemmatimonadetes bacterium partial 16S ribosomal RNA
Rfam family: Bacterial small subunit ribosomal RNA
Source: RNAcentral